GUGGCUCAUGCCUGUAAUUCUGGAACUUUGAGAGGCUAAGGUAGGCAGAUCACUUGAAGUCAGGAGUUUGAGACCAGCCUGAGUAACAUGGUGAAACCCCAGCUCUACUAAAAAUAAAAAAAAAUUAGCCAGGCAUGGUGGCACAUACUUGUAAUCCCAGCUAUGUGGGAGGUCGAGGCAGAAUAGCUUGAACCUGGGAAGUGGAGGUUGCAGUGAGUGCAGAUCGCACCACUGCACUCCAGGUUAGGCGACAGAGUGAGAUGCAUCUCAAAAAAUAAAAUAAAUAACAUUAUACUUUUAAAAUGGAGACAUAAAAUUGUGAGUACUUUGAAGAGAGAAUUACGUAUUACCUCUAACAAAAUUGCUAUUACAAUUUUGGUGAAUUUUUCCCCAAUUGUUAUUUAAAGGAUACUUAUAUAUAGUUUGAAAAUCAGAGUAGAUGUUCCAUAUUUCUUUAUGUUUCAUUUUGCUGUUAUUUGCCAAGCGUAUUCAGGGUACCAAAUUAAGUAUUGAUUGAUGGUAGCAGUGAUAACAUUAAGACGUGGAGAUCAGGUUAAAGACAGAUAUGCACCAUGAAUCCAUAAUUGAGUAAGUCAGAAGGAAAUUUAAUUAGCCUUUUUCCUGUGUCCAUUGCAGUGCUUUAAUAAGAACAACAGAGAAUUCUUUUUUUUUCUUUUAAUUUGCUAAUCCAGGAUGUUCUCAAUGCUUUUAUGGACGUCAGCUAGCUAAAUACCUUGAGAGAAUAGCAAUACCAUCAAGUUACAUCUGUUUGUGACAUUUUCUCUAUGAUGGGACUAACAAAUUUGAUCUGUAUUAACUGAUUUUAAUAUGUAUUAACUCACACUUAUUGCACUACAACAAGAUUUUUGUCUUCUUAGCUCUUCUCUUCUUUGGGAAAUUACUCCAGGAUUUGAAUGGUCACAAGAGAUUCACCAGAGGAUUUUAUACACUUGGUCUGUGGCAGCAGAUUAAUUACACCACAACACCAGUUCUGGAGGCUAGAGGAAGUCCAAGAUCAAGAUGUUAGCAGGGUUGGCUUCUCCUCAGGACCAUGAAGGAAGGGUCUGUUCCAGGCCUCUGGCUUUGACUUGUAGGUAAAUAUCUUCUUCCUGUGUCUUCACGCUGUUUUUCCUUUGUAUGUCUGUGUCCAAAUUUCCUCUCCUUAGAAGGAUACUAGUCAUAUUCAAUUAGGGUCCAUCCUAAUGACUUCAUUUUAACUUAAUUACCUCUUUAAAGAUC
RNAcentral lists this long non-coding RNA (1239 nucleotides) under Callithrix jacchus (white-tufted-ear marmoset). RNAcentral's name for it is "lncRNA (ENSCJAG00000075586.1)". The record is from RNAcentral. Lineage: Eukaryota; Metazoa; Chordata; Mammalia; Primates; Cebidae.